CAGCCGCCGCGGUAAUACGGAGGGUGCAAGCGUUAAUCGGAAUUACUGGGCGUAAAGCGUGCGUAGGCGGUUUCGUAAGACAGAUGUGAAAUCCCCGGGCUUAACCUGGGAACUGCAUUUGUGACUGCGAGGCUAGAGUGUGUCAGAGGGUGGUGGAAUUCCACGUGUAGCAGUGAAAUGCGUAGAUAUGUGGAGGAACACCGAUGGCGAAGGCAGCCCCCUGGGAUAACACUGACGCUCAUGCACGAAAGCGUGGGGAGCAAACAGGAUUAGAUACCCCAGUAGUCCCUGUCUCUUAUAC
RNAcentral lists this ribosomal RNA (301 nucleotides) under uncultured bacterium. Its description in RNAcentral is "partial 16S ribosomal RNA". It matches the Rfam family "Bacterial small subunit ribosomal RNA", at positions 509 to 807 of the family's 1533-position model. The record is from RNAcentral.